GCCCAGAUGGCGGAAUCGGCAGACGCAACGGACUCAAAAUCCGUCGCCAGCGAUGGCGUGUGGGUUCGACCCCCACUCUGGGCACCA
Molecule: transfer RNA, 87 nt
Filed under: mine drainage metagenome
Description: tRNA-Leu
Rfam family: tRNA
About the family: Transfer RNA (tRNA) molecules are approximately 80 nucleotides in length.
Source: RNAcentral